AUUGAACGUUGGCGGCACGCCUAAUACAUGCAAGUCGAACGAGAAAGCACUUCGGUGUGAGUACAGUGGCGGACGGGUGAGUAACGCGUAGGAAUAUGCCUGGUAGUGGGGGGACAACUCGGGGGAAACUCGAGCUAAUACCGCGUACGCUCCUUCUCUUUGAGAGGGAGGAAAGUGGGGGAUCUUCGGACCUCAUGCUAUCAGAGUAGCCUGCGUUGGAUUAGCUAGUUGGUAGGGUAAAGGCCUACCAAGGCGACGAUCCAUAGCUGGUCUGAGAGGACGAUCAGCCACACUGGAACUGAGACACGGUCCAGACUCCUACGGGUGGCUG
This 331-nucleotide ribosomal RNA is filed under the name uncultured Pseudomonadota bacterium. Its description in RNAcentral is "bacterial SSU rRNA". It matches the Rfam family "Bacterial small subunit ribosomal RNA", at positions 30 to 351 of the family's 1533-position model. Lineage: Bacteria; Pseudomonadati; Pseudomonadota. The record is from RNAcentral.